GAUGAACGCUGGCGGCGUGCCUAAUACAUGCAAGUAGAACGCUGAAGGAGGAGCUUGCUCUUCUGGAUGAGUUGCGAACGGGUGAGUAACGCGUAGGUAACCUGCCUGGUAGCGGGGGAUAACUAUUGGAAACGAUAGCUAAUACCGCAUGACAACAGUUAUUGCAUGAUAACUGUUUAAAAGGGGCAACUGCUCCACUACCAGAUGGACCUGCGUUGUAUUAGCUAGUUGGUGAGGUAACGGCUCACCAAGGCGACGAUACAUAGCCGACCUGAGAGGGUGAUCGGCCACACUGGGACUGAGACACGGCCCAGACUCCUACGGGAGGCAGCAGUAGGGAAUCUUCGGCAAUGGACGGAAGGCUGACCGAGCAACGCCGCGUGAGUGAAGAAGGGUUUCGGAUCGUAAAGCUCUGUUGUAAGAGAAGAACGAGUGUGAGAGUGGAAAGUUCACACUGUGACGGUAUCUUACCAGAAAGGGACGGCUAACUACGUG
RNAcentral lists this ribosomal RNA (495 nucleotides) under uncultured bacterium. RNAcentral's name for it is "partial 16S ribosomal RNA". It matches the Rfam family "Bacterial small subunit ribosomal RNA", at positions 28 to 507 of the family's 1533-position model. The record is from RNAcentral.